This 31-nucleotide ribosomal RNA is filed under the name Metarhizium anisopliae. Its description in RNAcentral is "partial 28S ribosomal RNA". RNAcentral also lists the same sequence under 1 other name. The record is from RNAcentral. Lineage: Eukaryota; Fungi; Ascomycota; Sordariomycetes; Hypocreales; Clavicipitaceae.
CGAAUCAGGUAGGACUACCCGCUGAACUUAA